Molecule: ribosomal RNA, 468 nt
Filed under: uncultured bacterium
Lineage: Bacteria
Description: partial 16S ribosomal RNA
Rfam family: Bacterial small subunit ribosomal RNA
Source: RNAcentral
GACGAACGCUGGCGGCGUGCUUAACACAUGCAAGUCGAACGGAAAGGCCCUGCUUUUGUGGGGUGCUCGAGUGGCGAACGGGUGAGUAACACGUGAGUAACCUGCACUUGACUUUGGGAUAACUUCAGGAAACUGGGGCUAAUACCGGAUAGGAGCUCCUGCUGCAUGGUGGGGGUUGGAAGGUUUCGGCGGUUGGGGAUGGAAUCGCGGCUUAUCAGCUUGUUGGUGGGGUAGUGGCUUACCAAGGCUUUGACGGGUAGCCGGCCUGAGAGGGUGACCGGCCAAAUUGGGACUGGGAUGCGGCCCAGACUCGUACGGGAGGCAGCAGUGGGGAAUAUUGUACAAUGGGAGGAAGCCUGAUGCAGCAACGCCGCGUGCGGGAUGACGGCCUUCGGGUUGGAAUCCGCUUUCGCCUGUGACGAAGCGUGAGUGACGGUAAUGGGUAAAGAAGCACCGGCUAACUACGUG